Molecule: ribosomal RNA, 253 nt
Filed under: uncultured bacterium
Lineage: Bacteria
Description: partial 16S ribosomal RNA
Rfam family: Bacterial small subunit ribosomal RNA
Source: RNAcentral
GACAGAGGGUGCAAACGUUGCUCGGAAUCAUUGGGCGUAAAGCGCACGUAGGCGGCCUUGCAAGUCGGAUGUGAAAUCCCACGGCUCAACCGUGGACGUGCAUCCGAAACUGCUCGGCUCGAGUAUGGAAGAGGGUCGCGGAAUUCCCGGUGUAGAGGUGAAAUUCGUAGAUAUCGGGAGGAACACCAGUGGCGAAGGCGGCGACCUGGGCCAAUACUGACGCUGAGGUGCGAAAGCGUGGGGAGCAAACAGG